UUUUUUUUUUUUUUUUUUUGUGGAAAUGUGCUUUAAAAUGCAUUUGCUCUCAAGUUAAAGAUUUCCCUGCCAAGUUUUACCCAGAAAACACUUUUGCAGCCAAGUUAUAAACCCCUCCAAGUAUGAGUAUGCAGUGUAGCAAAGGAAAGAGCCUAAAGCAUAAUGGCACCAGUUAGCUCCCUGAGAAUGCCACCUUUGUGAUCUGUUAUCUUCCUUUGCCAGCUUCAGUUUGACAUUUCAUGAGAGCUGGGUUGGGCAAUUCAUUUUAAGCUUAGUUUUGGACUUAGUUAUCAAAAUAGGACAGUAAAGCUCUCAAACAUGCUGUAUGUUCUUGGAAAACACUGCAGAAAGACAAAUAUUUCACUUGGACUGAAAGGAGAUAUAAAUCUCACAUAGAAUGCCUGUCAGCAAAUUUCACUAAUAUGCUAAUUGUCUGAGUAGCAGACUGAUGGGAUAUCCUAUCUUAAGACCUUAAUGUGGAGAAGUAUGUGUCUGUUUUAUACUGUGAAUGUCGUGUUAAGAAGAUUCAUACGUCCCCUGAAAUAACAGAAAUCGUUUUGGCAUUUAUUUAUUUAUUUUUAAGGAGCUAAAUUAUUGUCUCUAUCUGUUAGUUUGGUCAGAGAGUGUUCUUAAACUGAAUUCUGACUGAGAUUAACACAGGAAACAUUAAGUAAUUUUGAACAUAUUGUUUUAAUUGAUGAGAGCUUGCCAGCAGAGGCAGAAUUUACCUAGAGAUUAUAGGGCCAGUGCUAGAGAACAGAUAAUUCAGCAGUCCCAUUUCCACAGAUUAUACAAAUGCAUCCCAAGGGACAUAAUUACUGGUGCUUAGUUAGUCCUUAUUCUUGUAGUUGAAAGUAUGGACUCUGCCAAAUGCCAUUCCAUAGGCAGCACGUGCAGGCUAGCUUGAGGUGAUGCUUGGACUCCUUUCCUGGGCACACCCAGCUGAGCUGCCUUUUUGCAGCCAGACAGCUGCUAUUCUCCCAGCACUGCAGAGAUGGUUGCCUCCUUACCACUGGGAGCCCGUCUGACAAAUGUAUGAGUAUAUGUGACUCACUUUCACAUCCUGUACAAGAGGAUGCCAGGGUCUGACAGAUCUGGCUGACAGUGCAUCUCCAAAGAGAACACAAGGAAGGACUUUACAGUGAUAAUUUUCCCAACUGAGAUGCUUCAAGGUAACCAUUCCUCUGGUGGCUUUAGCACCUCUGUGUUAACUUCACUUAUGCUCAUCUUUUCAGUAGAACACUGCACACCUGAAGUAGAACCUGGAAAUAAAUUUCAGGAGUCCCCUCUUUUAUUUGAGAAUUACUACACUGGCUGCAGAUGUUUUGCAUAGCUUGGCCUAAAGGAUGGAAGAUUUAUCUUAGUAUUUACUUUAAUAACAGGAUAAAAACAUUUAUCUGCAGCACAAUGGACUUCCAGAGUUACUUUCUCUUCUUUGUGGGCAUUAAAAUGAACUACAACAAUAUGGUCUUGCUGGUUUUUUUUCAGAUCUGUGGGAAAUAUACUGUAUUUUUACAUGUCUGAAAAAGAAGGGUCUUAUUCAGUAAAGCAUAUUUAUGUCCCUUAUCUUACUUAACCUGAGAAAUACUCUUGAAGUCAGGAGGAUUCUAUUUGAGGAUGCACAGCACGUAUUUUCAACUGCUUUUACUUUUAUCUUUUAAAAUAUCUUUCCAUCUGACAGUGGCUGUAACUCAGUGAGGAAAAGAUAAAUAACAUCUGAAAAGCAUACACGUUUUCUGAGUCACUGCUGUUACUAUUUUAAUGUUAGGUUAACAGAGAAACAGAAGGAGGCAUUUUCUUUAGCUGUGAGGGUAAGCACUUUGGUUGUGUCAGGUAUGAACAAUUUCCAUACAAGAAAGAGAAUCCAUUCUGAAAGAGGUUCUCUGUGUGUGUGCUGCGUUUUAUUUUAUUUUAUUUUUUAAGUGAAGAAAAACAAUAAUAGCGAUGCGGAAGCAGCACAUGGUUUUUCUAAACUUAUAUUAGACAUAUCUGAUCUUCAUGUUUGCAGUAAUCUGACUUUGGCAGGCUUUUUAAGACGGGUUAGGGAGUAUUACAUUAGACAGUGGUGCUAGGCAGCCAAACUUAUGAUAUUUUGCAGUUCCAGAAAAGAAAGUUCAACACAGCCAAGAUCUGAACAGAACAGAUAUUAUAUACUAAAGCGGGCUGGAAAAUCUCAGAGACAAACAUCCAAACGUUGCCCAGCUGAGUGCACUGGCAACUUGCACAGAACUGAAGGUCUAAAGCAGAUAUGCAUAAAAUAGGGAGAUUGUAAUCCUUUCUAUAUGGGAAGUAUGCCACAUGGGGGACUACUUUUCCCAGCAUGCAACUGCAAAAUAUCACAGAUCUCAGCCACCCUUGAGCGAGAUGGAUGAAAAGCAUGCAAAAUUGCUUUGACACAAAUAAUGGUGUACACAAAGUGAAGGCCACUGCUUCAGAUGCUGCUGGAAAAUAAAUCUCCUGUCCAUGUCCAGAGGAGAUGACAGAGAUGUGAAAUUAUGCUGAUGAAUUCUUUUGUCUCGUUGUACAUCAUUUAUAAAGCUGUUUUGAACUCAUCGCAGUCAUCUGAGUUAUGAUGUUCUGAAGGAGAAAUUUAUUGCAAAGGUACUGAGAUUAGUCAGCUGAGAAAGUCAUUUUUAUUUUUGGCAGAGUGAUCAUUGUAGAAAAUCGUAUAUUCUAAAAACAGAAACAAAUAAAGAAAAUGGGCAAUGGCUAGGCUUUAAAAUGGAAAAUAGGCAAAGUUUCUUAAUAACAAAUUAGAAAUUAAGGGAUGAUGCAACAAGUACAAAAUGUUUAUGGGUAUGGCUCUAUCAAUUACACUGAAAUCAAUUAAAAAUAGAAGAAAACUUUGAGAUAUUUUUCUUCCUUCAGCUGAAUUAUGUUGCUGUUUGAGCGUACAUUUCACCUGCCAAGAUAACUGUAGGGACAGACAUUGACUUAAUGCAGGUACCGAUGCUUCUUAAAGUGACAGAGUUCUCCAGUUGCCUGUCUUUGGAUGCAUCUAUUUACGAGACAAAAUCAUAACUUUCUUAAAUACUGAAAAUAAGUUCCUUGAUUUUUUUUUAGCUGUUCUGCAUAAAGUGACUGAAUGUACAUGCAUAUUUCCAGAUAAAAUCUACAAUGAAGUUAAGAGUACAUACACAGUUGUGAUGGUAGGCAUGAAAUCUUUUUUUCAUGCCAUAGUAUUCCUAAAACAAAUGCUAUAGGACCAGAAAAUAUUAUGAAUAUAAAAUUGAAACAAAACCAAAAAUAGCAACAUACUUAUUUUCACAUGAAAAUCUACUAACAAAUCUUACCUAUUACUCAGUGUGAGAUGGUAUAUUUAGAUAACUAUCUGGCAUCUUAUUGAUUACCAUCCGAGGUUAGAUUAAAGCAACUUCAAUACAUAUUAUAAUUCUGUCCUGCUGGUAUUUAUGGAGGAUAGAUGUUACAUUGCUAUGUGUCCUCACAUAAAAUAGGUCCUGGAAUGUUAAUUUUGACACAUUUCUGUGAACUGCCUGAAUUUCUAAUGUGUUUUUUUCUUAUCUUAUUCAUGCAGUAGUCCUGAAGCUUAGUAAAUUAAAAAAGAAAAAAAUUUGAUAAAUAAAAAGCUUUAGCUGCACUCCAGAGUUUCUUUUUGUUGAAGAGCUUCCUUUAAAAACAUGUGUAUAUCACCUUUUUGAACAAGAACUCUAAGGAAGGAAUUCUAGAAGCUCACCAUGUCUUAUUAUUUAAGACAGCAUUUCCCUUUCAACUCUGUUACCAGAGUUUUACUCUUACUUACUCUUUCAAGGUGGCUUUGUAAAAAUCCUGGCUUCUGGCUGGAGCACUAUUGCCACUUCUGUUGGCAAUCCUCUCCUAUUUACAUGGGAUCAUCAUUGACUGCACCCCACACUGCCCCCUCCACCACAUUUUCCCCAUGUAUGCAUGUAACUUCUUCCUGCGCUUCCAGAGCAGAGUUGCUUUCUUUUUUCAUUGCUCCAUUAACACAACUCAGACCAGGAGUAUUUACUAUCUGAAAUCUUCCUCAGAACGCCAAAGCUGCCUUGUUCUGAGCAGCACAGCACAUGGGAGGCCUUGUCCAGCACAGGACAUGGCAACGGCAUGAUUUGCUUGCUGUCUUUGAGGCCACCCGCCCUUGGUUUUCCCUGUUUUGGAAGGCUUCAAGUGGCACAUGAGGAUGGUGCACUUUUCCACUUGAAAAGACUGAACACUGAGCUAUGGGCCAGUACACAGCUGGGCCCGGGAAUGGAGUUUAAAAAAAAAAAAAAAAAAAA
This 4253-nucleotide long non-coding RNA is filed under the name Gallus gallus (chicken). RNAcentral's name for it is "lncRNA (ENSGALG00010006508.1)". Lineage: Eukaryota; Metazoa; Chordata; Aves; Galliformes; Phasianidae. The record is from RNAcentral.